GCUAGCAGAGAAGUACCGAGAGUGCCUAUCUAACAAGGAGAAGAUUCUCAAGGAGAUUGAGGUGAAGAAGGAGUACCUGAGUAGCCUCCAGCCCCGCCUCAACAGCAUCAUGCAGAUAAGACGUUAUCUGUGGCAAUCGAAGGCAGUGUGGAUGAAGCCAAGGCUCUGUUCAAACCUCCAGAGGACUCCCAAGAUGACGAGAGUGACUCAGAUGCCGAGGAGGAGCAGACUACGGUGAGAACCAUUUCCUCUUGUGGGGGCAUCAAGCAGCUGCAUGCACUGGGGCAUGCUUGUUCGCAGGUGCCGUCCUCCCUAGAAGCAGAAGAGGUUUGAAAGAAGGUGCUGCUGGGAGGGGAGUCUGACAACCCAGCUAGCUGAAGCAGCAGAAGCGCCGGAGACCCACACUGGGGGUUCAGUUGGACGACAAACGCAAGGAGAUGCUGAAGAGGCACCCACUGUCUGUCAUGCUCGACCUGAAGUGCAAAGAUGACAGUGUGCUUCACCUGACUUUCUACUACCUCAUGAACCUCAACAUCAUGACAGUAAAAGCCAAAGUGACAACUGCCAUGGAGCUGAUCACCCCCAUCAGUGCAGGUGACUUGCUGUCUCCUGACUCAGUCCUGAGUUGCUUGUAUCCUGGGGAUCAUGGAAAGAAAACUCCGAAUCCAGCCAAUCAGUAUCAGUUUGAUAAAGUUGGCAUCCUGACUUUGAGCGACUAUGUACUUGAGCUAGGUCACCCCUAUUUGUGGGUGCAGAAGCUGGGUGGCCUCCACUUCCCCAAAGAGCAGCCCCAGCAAACAGUGAUUGCUGACCACUCGCUGAGCGCCAGCCACAUGGAGACCACCAUGAAACUUCUGAAGACCAGGGUGCAGUCCCGCCUGGCCCUCCACAAACAGUUUGCAUCCCUAG
Molecule: small RNA, 909 nt
Filed under: Pan troglodytes (chimpanzee)
Lineage: Eukaryota; Metazoa; Chordata; Mammalia; Primates; Hominidae
Description: retained intron
Source: RNAcentral